CGGUAAUACGUAGGGUGCAGGUGUUAAUCGGAAUUACUGGGCGUAAAGCGUGCGCAGGCGGUUUGCUAAGACAGGUGUGAAAUCCCCGGGCUUAACCUGGGAAUUGCGCUUGUAACUGGCAAGCUAGAGUGUGGCAGAGGGGGGUGGAAUUCCACGUGUAGCAGUGAAAUGCGUAGAUAUGUGGAGGAACACCGAUGGCGAAGGCAGCCCCCUGGGUUAACACUGACGCUCAGGCACGAAAGCGUGGGGAGCAAACAGGAUUAGAUACCCUGGUAGUCCACGCCCUAAACUAUGUCAACUAGUUGUCGGGGAAGAAAUUCCUUGGUAACGAAGCUAACGCGUGAAGUUGACCGCCUGGGGAGUACGGCCGCAAGGUUAAA
Molecule: ribosomal RNA, 380 nt
Filed under: uncultured bacterium
Lineage: Bacteria
Description: bacterial SSU rRNA
Rfam family: Bacterial small subunit ribosomal RNA
Source: RNAcentral